AGUGUUGGGCUAGUAACCAGCAGGUAGUUUAGUGGUUAGAGUGUUGGACUAGUAACCAGCAGGUAGUUUAGUGGUUAGAGUGUUGGACUAGUAACCAGCAGGUAGUUUAGUGGUUAGAGCGUUGGGCCAGUAACCAGCAGGUAGCCUAGUGGUUAGAGCGUUGGGCCAGUAACCAGCAGGUAGCCUAGUGGUUAGAGCGUUGGGCCAGUAACCAGCAGGUAGCCUAGUGGUUAGAGUGUUGGGCCAGUAACCAGCAGGUAGCCUAGUGGUUAGAGCGUUGGGCCAGUAACCAGCAGGUAGCCUAGUGGUUAGAGUGUUGGACUAGUAACCAGCAGGUAGCCUAGUGGUUAGAGUGUUGGGCCAGUAACCAGCAGGUAGCCUAGUGGUUGGGCCAGUAACCAGCAGGUAGCCUAGUGGUUAGAGCGUUGGACUAGUAACCAGCAGGUAGCCUAGUGGUUAGAGCGUUGGACUAGUAACCAGCAGGUAGCCUAGUGGUUGGGCCAGUAACCAGCAGGUAGCCUAGUGGUUAGAGCGUUGGACUAGUAACCAGCAGGUAGCCUAGUGGUUAGAGCGUUGGACUAGUAACCAGCAGGUAGCCUAGUGGUUGGGCCAGUAACCAGCAGGUAGCCUAGUGGUUAGAGCGUUGGACUAGUAACCAGCAGGUAGCCUAGUGGUUAGAGCGUUGGGCCAGUAACCAGCAGGUAGCCUAGUGGUUAGAGUGUUGCGCCAGUAACCAGCAGGUAGCCUAGUGGUUAGAGUGUUGGACUAGUAACCAGCAGGUAGCCUAGUGGUUAGAGCGUUGGACUAGUAACCAGCAGGUAGCCUAGUGGUUAGAGCGUUGGACUAGUAACCAGCAGGUAGCCUAGUGGUUAGAGUGUUGGG
Long non-coding RNA from Oncorhynchus keta (chum salmon), 882 nucleotides. RefSeq lists it as uncharacterized. The transcript has 7 exons. The record is from RefSeq and is a predicted model, not a curated record. Lineage: Eukaryota; Metazoa; Chordata; Actinopteri; Salmoniformes; Salmonidae.